CGUGAGUGGCGGACGGGUGAGUAACGCGUGGGUAACCUGCCUCAUACAGGGGGAUAACAGUUAGAAAUGACUGCUAAUACCGCAUAAGACCACAGCACCGCAUGGUGCAGGGGUAAAAACUCCGGUGGUAUGAGAUGGACCCGCGUCUGAUUAGGUAGUUGGUGGGGUAACGGCCUACCAAGCCGACGAUCAGUAGCCGACCUGAGAGGGUGACCGGCCACAUUGGGACGGAGACACGGCCCAA
RNAcentral lists this ribosomal RNA (244 nucleotides) under uncultured bacterium. RNAcentral's name for it is "partial 16S ribosomal RNA". It matches the Rfam family "Bacterial small subunit ribosomal RNA", at positions 90 to 334 of the family's 1533-position model. The record is from RNAcentral.